Molecule: long non-coding RNA, 301 nt
Organism: Anguilla rostrata (American eel)
Lineage: Eukaryota; Metazoa; Chordata; Actinopteri; Anguilliformes; Anguillidae
Exons: 2
Source: RefSeq, a predicted model, not a curated record
UGGCAGCGCAUUCGCGAAUGUUCGGUGCGUGGGUGAAGAGGAAGACGAUCCUUGGAGUUCGUUCCAGCGCAAGUUUUCAGCCUAGCCAGAGGAAAUCCGAGCGUUGCCGGUAGCUCAAACAAAUAUCUGGUUUAUCUGUUCACCGUAUGUCAAAAUAAAAGACUUAUAAUAAGUAUGUCAAAAUAAGACAUUUCAAAUAACAUUUCAACAGUUUAACAUUGCAAAUUUAACAUCAUAUAUCUGAACCAAAUGAAUAACUUUUUAUUAAACCAAACCCUUUUUCCCAACUGGGUUACACCCU